AGAGUUUGAUUCUGGCUCAGGAUGAACGCUAGCUACAGGCUUAACACAUGCAAGUCGAGGGCAGCAUGAAACUUAGCUUGCUAAGUUUUGAUGGCGACCGGCGCACGGGUGAGUAACACGUAUCCAACCUACCGUUUACUACGGGAUAGCCUUUCUGAAAAGGAGAUUAAUACCGUAUGGUAUUCUAAAGUUUCAUGACAUUUAGAAUUAAAGGUUUACCGGUAAUCGAUGGGGAUGCGUUCCAUUAGAUAGUAGGCGGGGUAACGGCCCACCUAGUCAGCGAUGGAUAGGGGUUCUGAGAGGAAGGUCCCCCACAUUGGAACUGAGACACGGUCCAAACUCCUACGGGAGGCAGCAGUGAGGAAUAUUGGUCAAUGGGCGAGAGCCUGAACCAGCCAAGUAGCGUGAAGGAUGACUGCCCUAUGGGUUGUAAACUUCUUUUAUAAAGGAAUAAAGUGGUCCACGUGUGGAUUUUUGUAUGUACUUUAUGAAUAAGGAUCGGCUAACUCCGUGCCAGCAGCAGC
RNAcentral lists this ribosomal RNA (524 nucleotides) under uncultured bacterium. Its description in RNAcentral is "bacterial SSU rRNA". It matches the Rfam family "Bacterial small subunit ribosomal RNA", at positions 8 to 518 of the family's 1533-position model. The record is from RNAcentral.